RNAcentral lists this ribosomal RNA (497 nucleotides) under uncultured bacterium. RNAcentral's name for it is "partial 16S ribosomal RNA". It matches the Rfam family "Bacterial small subunit ribosomal RNA", at positions 28 to 507 of the family's 1533-position model. The record is from RNAcentral.
GAUGAACGCUGGCGGCGUGCCUAAUACAUGCAAGUCGAGCGAACAGACGAGGAGCUUGCUCCUCUGACGUUAGCGGCGGACGGGUGAGUAACACGUGGAUAACCUCCCUAUAAGACUGGGAUAACUUCGGGAAACCGGAGCUAAUACCGGAUAAUAUAUUGAACCGCAUGGUUCAAUAGUGAAGGACGGUUUUGCUGUCACUUAUAGAUGGAUCCGCGCCGCAUUAGCUAGUUGGUAAGGUAACGGCUUACCAAGGCAACGAUGCGUAGCCGACCUGAGAGGGUGAUCGGCCACACUGGAACUGAGACACGGUCCAGACUCCUACGGGAGGCAGCAGUAGGGAAUCUUCCGCAAUGGGCGAAAGCUUGACGGAGCAACGCCGCGUGAGUGAUGAAGGUCUUCGGAUCGUAAAACUCUGUUAUUAGGGAAGAACAAAUGUGUAAGUAACUAUGCACGUCUUGACGGUACCUAAUCAGAAAGCCACGGCUAACUACGUG